AACGAACGCUGACGGCAUGCCUAACACAUGCAAGUCGAACGAGACCUUCGGGUCUAGUGGCGCACGGGUGCGUAACGCGUGGGAAUCUACCCUUGGGUUCGGAAUAACAGUUAGAAAUGACUGCUAAUACCGGAUGAUGACGUAAGUCCAAAGAUUUAUCGCCCAAGGAUGAGCCCGCGUAAGAUUAGCUUGUUGGUGGGGUAAUGGCCUACCAAGGCGACGAUCUUUAGCUGGUCUGAGAGGAUGAUCAGCCACACUGGGACUGAGACACGGCCCAGACUCCUACGGGAGGCAGCAGUGGGGAAUAUUGGACAAUGGGCGAAAGCCUGAUCCAGCAAUGCCGCGUGGGUGAUGAAGGCCUUAGGGUUGUAAAGCUCUUUUACCAGGGAUGAUAAUGACAGUACCUGGAGAAUAAGCUCCGGCUAACUCCGUGCCAGCAGCCGCCGUAA
Molecule: ribosomal RNA, 449 nt
Filed under: uncultured bacterium
Lineage: Bacteria
Description: partial 16S ribosomal RNA
Rfam family: Bacterial small subunit ribosomal RNA
Source: RNAcentral